AUUACUAAACAUCAUUUACAAGUCAACUGGCUUUGUUUAUUCAAACAUUUAUUUCAACUUUUUCCUAUAUUUAUCUUUUUGCAAAUUUAGCUUGAAAAUAAAUCAUUUAAGGCGAAGAAGUGCACAUUUGGAUUUAAGAGGUUUGGGGCAACAAAGUUAUCUCGGAUGCGAGGAUGUUUUUUUUUUCAAAUUAAAAACCGGCUUAUUCAUAGAGGUGUACAGUCAAAGAUCUAUUUUACCCUUUUUUGCCCUGGAAUUUUCACCUUUAAUUUGAGCUUAAAUAAGUUUUUCAUAAAUAUUUAUUGCCUCUCCCAUCCCAACAAAAAUACACUAAAGUACAGAUCUGAGACUAUUUGCAGUCAAUAGAAUAUUUCUAAAACUCAGAAUGGUUUAAAAAAAAACCUGCAUGUAUGUUUUUGUUUGGUUUUGUUUUGAUUAUGCGGAAGACAUUUCUAACGGAAGUUCACAGCCGAUAGUCCAAAAUUAAUGAAUAAAUAAGCGCUCCCU
RNAcentral lists this long non-coding RNA (507 nucleotides) under Mytilus galloprovincialis (Mediterranean mussel). Lineage: Eukaryota; Metazoa; Mollusca; Bivalvia; Mytilida; Mytilidae. The record is from RNAcentral.